RNAcentral lists this ribosomal RNA (425 nucleotides) under uncultured rumen bacterium. Its description in RNAcentral is "bacterial SSU rRNA". It matches the Rfam family "Bacterial small subunit ribosomal RNA", at positions 354 to 776 of the family's 1533-position model. The record is from RNAcentral.
GUGGGGAAUAUUGGACAAUGGCCGGAAGGCUGAUCCAGCCAUGCCGCGUGCGGGAAGACGGCCCUAUGGGUUGUAAACCGCUUUUGUUGGGGAGCAAUAAGUCCUACGCGUAGGAUGAUGAGAGUACCCAGCGAAUAAGCAUCGGCUAACUCCGUGCCAGCAGCCGCGGUAAUACGGAGGAUGCAAGCGUUAUCCGGAUUUAUUGGGUUUAAAGGGUGCGUAGGCGGAUGCUUAAGCGUGAGGUGAAAUGCCCGGGCUCAACCUGGGAACUGCCUCGCGAACUGGGUAUCUGGAAUGUCCGUGCCGUGGGAGGAAUGUGUGGUGUAGCGGUGAAAUGCAUAGAGAUCACACAGAACACCGAUUGCGAAGGCAUCUCACGAACGGAUGAUUGACGCUGAGGCACGAAAGCGUGGGGAUCAAACAGG